GAUGAACGCUGGCGGCGUGCCUAAUACAUGCAAGUCGAGCGAACAGACGAGGAGCUUGCGCCUUUGACGUUAGCGGCGGACGGGUGAGUAACACGUGUAUAACCUACUUAUAUGUCUGGGAUAAUUUCGGGAAACCGGAGAUAAUACCGGAGAAUAUAUUGAACCGCAGGGUUCAAUGGUGAAAGACGGCUUUGCGGGAUCUAAUAGCUGGAUCCGCGCCGCAUUAGCGAGUUGGUAAGGUAACGGCUUACAAAGGCUACGAUGCGUAGCCGAACUGAGAGGGUGAUAGGCCACCUUGGAACGGGGCCACGCUCCAUACUCCUACGGGAGGCCGCAGUCGGGAACCUUGGGCAAUGGGCGAAAGCCUGACGCAGCAAGCCCGCGUGAGUUACGAAGGCCUUCGGUUCGUAAAGCCCUUUUAUUGGGGAAGAACAGCUGUCGCAGUAGACGUAGCGGGAUUGACGGUACCUAAUAAAAAAGCACCGGCUAACUACGUG
This 497-nucleotide ribosomal RNA is filed under the name uncultured bacterium. RNAcentral describes it as "partial 16S ribosomal RNA". It matches the Rfam family "Bacterial small subunit ribosomal RNA", at positions 28 to 507 of the family's 1533-position model. The record is from RNAcentral.